This 344-nucleotide unclassified non-coding RNA is filed under the name soil metagenome. Its description in RNAcentral is "partial contains 5.8S ribosomal RNA, internal transcribed spacer 2, and large subunit ribosomal RNA". The stretch from base 1 to 119 matches the Rfam family "5.8S ribosomal RNA", at positions 36 to 154 of the family's 154-position model. The record is from RNAcentral.
AUGAAGAACGUAGCGAAAUGCGAUACGUAAUGUGAAUUGCAGAAUUCAGUGAAUCAUCGAGUCUUUGAACGCACAUUGCGCCCUCUGGUAUUCCGGAGGGCAUGCCUGUCCGAGCGUCAUUGCUGCCCUCAAGCACGGCUUGUGUGUUGGGCCCCGCCCCCCGAUCCCGGGGGGCGGGCCCGAAAGGCAGCGGCGGCACCGCGUCCGGUCCUCGAGCGUAUGGGGCUUUGUCACCCGCUCUGUAGGCCCGGCCGGCGCUUGCCGAUCAACCAAACUUUUUUCCAGGUUGACCUCGGAUCAGGUAGGGAUACCCGCUGAACUUAAGCAUAUCAAUAAGCGGAGGA